UUGUCUGCAGAACAAGAUGCAGGGUAUCACGCGCAUGGAUGCUGCCCUGGACGCAAUGCGUCCACUUGGAUUUAGGACACAACUGAUUCUACGAACGGUUAAUGAGCUUCUCGAUGUGUAUGGUGGAAAUCAAGGAUGGUGCUUUAUUGAAGAGGCCUAUUACAAGCUCCUAAUGGAGGCCCGUCACUGCCAUUGUUUUUACCGUUAAGAAGAAAUUUAGUCACUGCGGUUCCGAUAAGCCUGCUCCAGUUCCCGGUCCCCCUGGCGCCGUUGACCAAAAAUACCGCACUGCACUCAAAACCGCAAUGCAAUUCUUCGAUGUUCAGAAAUCUGGGAGGUUAGUUGACAAUAAAAUAUCUUGGAGAGGGAAUUCGGCUCUUAAGGAUGGGAGCCAAGCGAAGUUGGAUCUAUCAAAAGGGAUGUAUGAUGUUGGGGAUA
Long non-coding RNA from Glycine soja, 438 nucleotides. RefSeq lists it as uncharacterized. The transcript is spliced from 3 exons. NCBI's taxonomy places the organism in Eukaryota, Viridiplantae, Streptophyta, Magnoliopsida, Fabales, Fabaceae. The record is from RefSeq and is a predicted model, not a curated record.